ACUCCUACGGGAGGCAGCAGUGGGGAAUAUUGGACAAUGGGCGCAAGCCUGAUCCAGCCAUGCCGCGUGAGUGAUGAAGGCCCUAGGGUUGUAAAGCUCUUUCACCGGUGAAGAUAAUGACGGUAACCGGAGAAGAAGCCCCGGCUAACUUCGUGCCAGCAGCCGCGGUAAUACGAAGGGGGCUAGCGUUGUUCGGAUUUACUGGGCGUAAAGCGCACGUAGGCGGACUAUUAAGUCAGGGGUGAAAUCCCGGGGCUCAACCCCGGAACUGCCUUUGAUACUGGUAGUCUUGAGUUCGAGAGAGGUGAGUGGAAUUCCGAGUGUAGAGGUGAAAUUCGUAGAUAUUCGGAGGAACACCAGUGGCGAAGGCGGCUCACUGGCUCGAUACUGACGCUGAGGUGCGAAAGCGUGGGGAGCAAACAGGAUUAGAUACCCCGGUAGUCCCAU
RNAcentral lists this ribosomal RNA (447 nucleotides) under uncultured organism. RNAcentral's name for it is "partial 16S ribosomal RNA". It matches the Rfam family "Bacterial small subunit ribosomal RNA", at positions 335 to 798 of the family's 1533-position model. The record is from RNAcentral.